Molecule: long non-coding RNA, 525 nt
Organism: Ictalurus punctatus (channel catfish)
Lineage: Eukaryota; Metazoa; Chordata; Actinopteri; Siluriformes; Ictaluridae
Exons: 3
Source: RefSeq, a predicted model, not a curated record
CAGACACCUCCUAUGCAGUCAACUUCACAUUAAGCAUCAGUAACAUCAGCAUGUCUAAGAACCCUGACCUCAGGAACGACACCUACACCCAAGUGGAGAACAUCAUCAAUAAUGCUCUAAACACGCUUCUAAAUGAUGCUGGUGCAGAGCCAUUCGAACCCCAGAGCUCUUUCUUCGCGUAAGUUCACAGCAGUAUUAUUUCCCCUCCCAAAAUACCUUUUGGUAAUUCUUAUUGUAAAGUGAAUUGUGUUAUGAUGUUUGUGAUUUCUUCUAGUGGUAACAGGAGUUCAGGAAACCAGGUUAAUGGUGAUAUGAAGUACUUCUUCCAAGAUGGAGACACCAAAACACCAGCAGCCUUCCUGGAUGAGCUUAAACCUGUAUCUGGUUCAGCUGUGGUUCAGACCAGGAUGGUCUUCAAUUCCUCCUCUCCUAUUCCCAGUGAGAGUUUGGUCCUCAGUGCGAUCCAGACUCUUCUCAGUGCUCGACUCACGAACCUCUCUGACUCUGUAAAAGUGCUGAACUUCA